AUGCAACGGAAGAGUCAGAACGACCGUUUAACUUAAAGAUACAAUUCUACCGAGACCAAAAAGCAGGACAGCUUAUGAGUGAAUCCACUCAUUCAUUCAAGUCACUCCCCCAUCUGUCCAUGUGUUACCAACACACAGAAGCCACUGCGUUCAGGCAGGACUAACCAUGCUGGCCCUGAGGGGUCAGCUUUCACUCGGCGGGCCUGGAGUCGGGCCGCUGUGACAUUUCUCCUUGCUCCUGUGGACACUGCUCUGAGGUACAUUUGACAAGGGUACUUGGGACAAUGUUAGGCGUUGCUUUCACAUCCUGCUUGCCUUGUUAAUUCGACACCUUGAACUCUACGCCAUGUAGCCACAGGAUUUCGGUAAGAUUCCAUAUCAUCCUUUCUCGGGCCUCUGCUCACAGAGGUACUACGACCAACUAAGACAACCACGUGACCAGCUGGUGCAGAGAGACGGUUUGUGGGGAGCUUGGGUCGUCCCUGCGUCGCGGGGGAGGGCUGACGCCCACGCGGACGGGAGACUCCUUACAGAAUCACCCGGGUCGCUCUGCGUCAGUGGCAACAGGCAGACUUUAGCGUAAACAGAAGCAGGUCUUUCUUGUGACACAGCCCACAGCCAGCCCCUGCACAGCCCGGGAGCCUGAGGCAGGUCUAUGCAGGGGGUGCUACACAAAUCAUUUUUGUUCUCCCCCAAAAGAGCCGUCACUGUUCCCAGUGCUGGUACUGAGGCGGGAGCUCAGAGCGGAGGGAGUCCGACAAGCACGUGAGACUCGACUAUGUCUGACUCACUGCAUCUGUGCAGACGGGAUCUCUAACUGCUGAACAGCUGAAUGAGCUGCAAACUUUCUCAGUUUCUCACACUCUCUGUGUUAUGUAAGUCGUUCAUUCACUCAGUCAUCCGAUUUCUGUCCUUAUACCAAAGGGAGGGAUCAGCUGCUGCUUAGAGGUAUCUGCGUCGUCCCUCCGUCCCUCCCUCUUUCCUUCCAGUGAGAAAAAGUCACCAUCACUAGUUAAGUCCCGCCCCCCCUGCCCCCACUGUUGACGUGGCUCUUCCUGUCAGAUCUUUAGUUGAUGUGAGAUUAAGGUAAGGGGACAAUUCUUGCAAAAACUCAUUUUUUUCAGAGUGAAAUCAUGUCAUGGAUAUUCCAGAGGGCAUUCUAGCUUUUUCCAUUCUCUUUUGUUACCGAUUUUGACACAAAAAUAAGCCUGAAUAAUGUUUGCUCAAGCUAAAGAAAGAUAAUACCAGCGAGUCCUGGAUGUUCUGGUUUAACAAGCAUCUGAAUUAAAAUGUAAAGAAGUUAAUUUGUUCAAACUGUCUAUAUCCUCAUUUACGUUUCCUUGACCAACAUCGUCUAUUAAAGUGUUUGAUUAUAAGUGU
Molecule: long non-coding RNA, 1380 nt
Organism: Myotis brandtii (Brandt's bat)
Lineage: Eukaryota; Metazoa; Chordata; Mammalia; Chiroptera; Vespertilionidae
Exons: 3
Source: RefSeq, a predicted model, not a curated record